Molecule: ribosomal RNA, 492 nt
Filed under: uncultured bacterium
Lineage: Bacteria
Description: partial 16S ribosomal RNA
Rfam family: Bacterial small subunit ribosomal RNA
Source: RNAcentral
AGUGAACGCUGGCGGUAGGCCUAACACAUGCAAGUCGAACGGCAGCACAGUAAGAGCUUGCUCUUACGGGUGGCGAGUGGCGGACGGGUGAGGAAUACAUCGGAAUCUACUUUUUCGUGGGGGAUAACGUAGGGAAACUUACGCUAAUACCGCAUACGACCUACGGGUGAAAGCAGGGGAUCUUCGGACCUUGCGCGAUUGAAUGAGCCGAUGUCGGAUUAGCUAGUUGGCGGGGUAAAGGCCCACCAAGGCGACGAUCCGUAGCUGGACUGAGAGGAUGAUCAGCCACACUGGAACUGAGACACGGUCCAGACUCCUACGGGAGGCAGCAGUGGGGAAUAUUGGACAAUGGGCGCAAGCCUGGUCCAGCCAUACCGCGUGGGUGAAGAAGGCCUUCGGGUUGUAAAGCCCUUUUGUUGGGAAAGAAAAGCAGCAGGUUAAUACCCCGCUGUUCUGACGGUACCCAAAGAAUAAGCACCGGCUAACUUCGUG